Molecule: ribosomal RNA, 301 nt
Filed under: uncultured bacterium
Lineage: Bacteria
Description: bacterial SSU rRNA
Rfam family: Bacterial small subunit ribosomal RNA
Source: RNAcentral
GACGAACGCUGGCGGCGUGCUUAACACAUGCAAGUCGAGCGGUAAGGCCCUUUCGGGGGUACGACGAGCGGCGAACGGGUGAGUAACACGUGGGUGACCUGCCCUUAGCUCUGGGAUAAGCCUGGGAAACUGGGUCUAAUACCGGAUAUGACUCCAUGACGCAUGUUGUGGGGUGGAAAGCCUUGUGCGGCUAGGGAUGGGCCCGCGGCCUAUCAGCUUGUUGGUGGGGUGAUGGCCUACCAAGGCGACGAUGGGUAGCUGGUCUGAGAGGAUGGUCAGCCAGACAGGGACUGAGACACGG